Oryzias melastigma (Indian medaka) is the source of this 655-nucleotide long non-coding RNA. RefSeq lists it as uncharacterized. The transcript has 2 exons. NCBI's taxonomy places the organism in Eukaryota, Metazoa, Chordata, Actinopteri, Beloniformes, Adrianichthyidae. The record is from RefSeq and is a predicted model, not a curated record.
GUCCACAGAAAACUCCACAUAGCCUGGUUUAUGUACCGAAUCAACAAGAUUUUAAAGUUUUCAAACUCAAUAAAAGAGACCAUAAGGGCUAACCACUUCUUUGUUUAACAGUGCAACUGAGAAAAGUGCUGAUCCAACACAAACUGAGGCUGCUGAGGAGAAGCCUCUUAAAAAGGCACCGAGCAGCACGGUCCAUUCCCUGGGUAGACACAGGCAGACUGCGGCAGAUUAAGUGGUUUUCUUAAUGUCUCCUCUCUGGCAAAGUUUCUUUCAGAAGCGUGGAGAGGCAAACAUGCCCCGGUGAAAGACUCGCUCCCCAUUAGAGGAGGUAAAUGGCUCUUCUGUGAGCAAGCGGCUAAAGUGGGGUGCAGAUAAAGGACCUCUCCACACACGUCUUCAGCUGGAUUAGAGAGAUCAAUGGUAAUGUGAGGGGGGCCCACACAAGAUGGAUGCCAGGAGCAGGUUAACUUAUCGACUCCUCAAAAGAGACACACACAGACCACCACAAUGGAGACUGAUCCAUUUACGGAGGUGAACCUGAGCUGGUUGGUUUUGGAAUCACUCUGUGUAUUGUUGUCACUUUUUAGUGUUUUCAGUGUGGAAACAUUUCUGUCAAUUUCUUUUGCAAUGAAGAGAAAAAAUAGGUUUCUUCUAA